GGAGAGCAAGAAAGGAAAUGGGGUAAGAGGGAAUGAAGCAGCUAGUUGGUUCUUGAAAAUCAUAGCUGCUAAUCAGAGUUCUGUUAAUUCAGAUUUCUGUUAUCUUGGGUUGUCUUCUGUACACUGGCAUUGGAACUUUUGAGUUGAAUAGUAACUGUAGCUGCAGCUGUGGUUUGUGUCUGGCAGAGCAGGGACUUGGUAGUUGAGCACUUUAAAGUGUAAAAUUUCCAGUAUUUUGCAAGAAUAAAUCCAGUUGUUUUUUUGUUCUUUGCUGGAGUCAUGGCAACCUUGCCACAUUCCAACUCCAGGCGCAAGUACUCGUGGUGGUGGGAUAGUCAUAUCCCUAAGAACUCAAAAUGGCUUCAAGAGAAUCUUACUGAAAUGGAUUCUAAAGUGAAGGCAAUGAUCAAGCUCAUUGAAGAA
This 423-nucleotide unclassified non-coding RNA is filed under the name Hevea brasiliensis (rubber tree). The record is from RNAcentral. Lineage: Eukaryota; Viridiplantae; Streptophyta; Magnoliopsida; Malpighiales; Euphorbiaceae.